AUGAUGAUGAAGCCAAUGCUUGUAUUAGGUUUGGGAUCUUUUGUUCCAAUGAGGAUAUCACAUGUGGCAGAUCACUUGCUUGGAUAAGAGAUUUUUAUUAUCUCCCUUGGUGGUGGCCUUGAGAUCUUGAUUUUUUAUAUAUAUUUUGUUGGAAUAUUAAACGAAAGAAGUUGAAAGCUAUUCAAAAUUAUAUUUUUACCCUAUAUUUUGUUUAACAAACUUUUCAAAAUAAGUUCAAAUUUAUUAAACAGAAUUUUGAUUUUAUAUAAACAUUAGGGUGGGCGGGGCGUAAUUCGGGGAGGGGUUUCACCGAUUAGGGGGGCGGCGCCAUUGGAGCGGUGAACAAGAGAGAGGUAGACAAGGCGGUGGGCUCUCGCCGAUGGAGAGAGAGAGGAAAGAUGGUGGGCCAGCCCACUUUCAACCAAUCAAACUUUUUCUUUUUUUUUUCUUUUUUUUUGUUUGAAUAAAAAAAUAAGGGGAGUGGCGCCAUCAAAUUGGGGUGUUAGGGGAGUUUAAGAGGGGAGUUGACGUGGCACACGGGGAUUGGUUUGGCGUAAGAGAGGGGACUCACCUAUUAGGUGAGCACCCCCUUCACCCUUAUAUACACAUAUGGGGUCUAGGAUAUCAUUUUCUUUUUCUAUAUGUAUGAUCUUAUAACAGAAUCAAUAACCAUUUUUUUCCACAAAUAUCAGUACUUAAGUGCAUUAAGUUCAUUUGAAAUUGAAACAAAUCACCUAGUUUUUUAAAUAUAUCUAUAGUAAACAGUUAAAUGUAGUAAAUGAAAUGAUGAGUAUAAAACCACUUAAGUAUUUUUAUGUGAAUUUAUAUAUUUAGUUACUAAACUUUCUAAGUUUAUCUAAAAUAUAAACAAGAAACAUAACUAAAAUCGAAUAGAAAUGGCAGGAAUAUAUGUAUCAAGAUCAUAAAAUAAUAUGGUUACGGUUUCUUGUUCACUAUGGAUAUUACUAUAGAUUUAGGAGUAGCUUUAGAGAGUCUAUGCUGAUUAGAUCCCUGCUCUAACUUCUUUCAAUAUUGAGCUAAUUACGCUGUUAGUCAUUGUAGUUUAUGGAAAGUAACAAUCUCAUAGACUAAUAGUUCAAAGUAACAAUCUAAGGUUUUAACUUUUGAUUUUGUAACAUCUUAGGACCUUCAGGCUAAUGGCCAUUAAAAACUAACCGAGAACUUAAUACCCAACCUUGAACUUUGAAGAAACCACAGGGAAUAACCACAAAACUAACUCUUGUAAUAUAUAAAACACAAUUUUUCUUUUCUCUCUUAUUAUUUCAUUAAACCUUUUUAAUUAUGUAUGUAAACCAUUUUUUAAAUAAUUAUACGUAAUUGACGUAUUAAAACUAAUUCGAAGCCACUUCAGUAAUUAGCUUACAAGUAAAUUAAUGAGAAUAUUUCACAAAAUGAUCACUACAAGAAAUAAGGCAUUUAGCCACUAACCCUUUAGCGACGAAAUUUUUCGUCGCCAUAGGUCAGGUAUAACAACGAAGUUUAGUUGCUAUAGGUUUUCCAAGAAAUUUAAUUUUUUGACAUCUAUAGGGAUGAAAAUUGGCUUCUAUAAACUUGGCGGGGUGGAGGGAAAUUAUCCCGCUUUGUGAAAAUAUUUAUACCAACCAAAUUUCGUCCCAAUAGAAAAAUAAAGUUUUAAUUUUAUUUUUUUUAACCUAAGUGUAAAUAAAAACGAAAAAACAAAAAAUCAUUUUUAUUAACCUACAGCGACUAAACCUCGUAUGCAAUAGCUCUGAACAUUGUUUCAUAUAAAAGACAUCCUCUUUUUCCCCUAAAACCAGUUCCCUCAAUUUUCCCUAAAACCCUCCAGCAGAACCCACUUCCCUCCAGAGAAAUCAAGUUUUUUCCGGCGAUUUCGGGCAAGAAACCACCGUCGUCACCGGCCGCUGUUCGAAGGUUCAUUGUUUCACUUCUUCAAGCUGAUUUCAGCUUCUCAGAAUGCUUUCAGUGGAAUUCUAACUGGUCGAAUUCUAACGGGUCUUCCCAAGCAUGGAGGCAGGAGUUACAGAAAAUUGUAAAAAAACCUAUAGCGACCAAAUUUAGUCUUUAAAGGUGAAAUUACAGAAAAUUGUAAAAACUCUAUAGCAACGACCCUGUUGCGACUAAGUUUGGUCGCUGUAAGUCAAUCUAUAGCGACGCCUUUAUAGCGACGAAAAUUGCACCCUGUUACGACAGAUCAAUAGCAACGACCCUGUUGCGACUAAGUUUGGUCGCAAUAGGUUAAGACGGAAUUUCGUCGCGAAAAGUCUUUUUUGGGUCCUCGCUAAAGGUCCGAUUUCUUGUAGUGGAUAACCAAGUUUUAGUAGUGUUUCAAUUAGAUCACUUAUAAAAAAAUUGUUCUAAUUAACUCAUUAAAUUUUAUU
This 2381-nucleotide long non-coding RNA is filed under the name Helianthus annuus (common sunflower). RNAcentral describes it as "hypothetical non coding rna". The record is from RNAcentral. Lineage: Eukaryota; Viridiplantae; Streptophyta; Magnoliopsida; Asterales; Asteraceae.